This 466-nucleotide ribosomal RNA is filed under the name uncultured bacterium. Its description in RNAcentral is "bacterial SSU rRNA". It matches the Rfam family "Bacterial small subunit ribosomal RNA", at positions 28 to 507 of the family's 1533-position model. The record is from RNAcentral.
GACGAACGCUGGCGGCGUGCUUAACACAUGCAAGUCGAACGGUGACGAGGAGCUUGCUCCUCCGAUCAGUGGCGAACGGGUGAGUAACACGUGAGCAACCUGCCCCAGACUCUGGGAUAACAGUUGGAAACAGCUGCUAAUACCGGAUACGAGACGGAGAGGCAUCUCCACCGUCUGGAAAGUUUUUCGGUCUGGGAUGGACUCGCGGCCUAUCAGCUAGUUGGUGAGGUAAUGGCUCACCAAGGCGACGACGGGUAGCCGGCCUGAGAGGGCGACCGGCCACACUGGGACUGAGACACGGCCCAGACUCCUACGGGAGGCAGCAGUGGGGAAUAUUGCACAAUGGGCGAAAGCCUGAUGCAGCGACGCCGCGUGAGGGAUGACGGCCUUCGGGUUGUAAACCUCUUUCAGCAGGGAAGAAGCGCAAGUGACGGUACCUGCAGAAGAAGCACCGGCUAACUACGUG